RNAcentral lists this ribosomal RNA (771 nucleotides) under Micromonospora sp. Z0-YC6809. Its description in RNAcentral is "bacterial SSU rRNA". It matches the Rfam family "Bacterial small subunit ribosomal RNA", at positions 69 to 856 of the family's 1533-position model. Lineage: Bacteria; Bacillati; Actinomycetota; Actinomycetes; Micromonosporales; Micromonosporaceae. The record is from RNAcentral.
GAAAGGCCCUUCGGGGUACUCGAGCGGCGAACGGGUGAGUAACACGUGAGCAACCUGCCCUAGGCUUUGGGAUAACCCUCGGAAACGGGGGCUAAUACCGAAUAUUACCUCUUGUCGCAUGGUGGGGGGUGGAAAGUUUUUCGGCCUGGGAUGGGCUCGCGGCCUAUCAGCUUGUUGGUGGGGUGAUGGCCUACCAAGGCGACGACGGGUAGCCGGCCUGAGAGGGCGACCGGCCACACUGGGACUGAGACACGGCCCAGACUCCUACGGGAGGCAGCAGUGGGGAAUAUUGCACAAUGGGCGGAAGCCUGAUGCAGCGACGCCGCGUGAGGGAUGACGGCCUUCGGGUUGUAAACCUCUUUCAGCAGGGACGAAGCGUAAGUGACGGUACCUGCAGAACAAGCACCGGCCAACUACGUGCCAGCAGCCGCGGUAAGACGUAGGGUGCGAGCGUUGUCCGGAUUUAUUGGGCGUAAAGAGCUCGUAGGCGGCUUGUCGCGUCGACCGUGAAAACUUGGGGCUCAACCCCAAGCCUGCGGUCGAUACGGGCAGGCUAGAGUUCGGUAGGGGAGACUGGAAUUCCUGGUGUAGCGGUGAAAUGCGCAGAUAUCAGGAGGAACACCGGUGGCGAAGGCGGGUCUCUGGGCCGAUACUGACGCUGAGGAGCGAAAGCGUGGGGAGCGAACAGGAUUAGAUACCCUGGUAGUCCACGCUGUAAACGUUGGGCGCUAGGUGUGGGGGGCCUCUCCGGUUCUCUGUGCCGCAGCUAAC